RNAcentral lists this unclassified non-coding RNA (151 nucleotides) under uncultured fungus. RNAcentral's name for it is "sequence contains ITS1, 5.8S rRNA gene". Lineage: Eukaryota; Fungi. The record is from RNAcentral.
CAGGACUCGCAAGACUCCCGUAACCACUGUGAACCUACCUAUACUCGUUGCCUCGGCGGGUGCUCCGGCUUGCCCCGGAGCGCUACGCCCGCCGGCGGUACACAACUCUUGUCUCUUGCGUUGGCAUCUCCGAGCAAACAAAAACGAGUCA